GCCGAAUCAUUAGCCUGCUUUUUCUUUGUGAUGGCUUUUCUUAAAUCACUAUCUAUAGAGUUAAAAUGUUUCCUGGUUCACAACAUCUGUCUUUCCCCACUAGAAUGUAAGCUCUUCGAGGACAGGAUUGACUCUUGCAGAUGUUUACACACCCUGACUUCCUGAAACUGGAAGGAUUAUUCCACGUACGCUUAGUGAAUGAGUACUGUCCAGCUAGUGUUCAUGGAUUGUCUCUUUAGCCAUUGGUGGAAAGGAAGCCCCUUAGUCCAAGGGGAGGCGGAGCCUUUGAAGCUCUACAGCAAGAUCUGACUUUGAAUGCCAUGCUGUUGUUGUAUGGUCGUGAAAAUAAGCUUUUUGUUUUUCUCUGUGUAGCCCUGGCUGACCUGUAACUCACUCUGUAGACCAGGCUGGCCUUGAACUCAGAAAUCCACCUGCCUCUGCCUCCCAAGUGCUGGUAUUAAAGGCAUGCACCAUCACUGCCCGGCUUUUUAAAAUUUUUUUAAUGUUUGAGACAGGGUUUCUCUUUGUAGCCUUGGUUAUCCUGGAACUCCCUCCAUAGACCAGGCUGGCAUCAAACUGAGAUUACUUGCUUCUGCUUCCUAAAUGCAGGGAUUAAAAGCUCACACCACCACCACUUGGCAUAAAUUAAUUAUCCUAAUCCUUGAUUUAUACUUCUUUAAGAUAUACAAAUAACUGAUGCAUUCCAGGUUCACUGAAGGAAGGAAAUAAAGGAAAAUGUAAAACUGCUGCCAAGAAAUUUAACUCUCAGCAUAUUUCUAGGUGAUAUUAGGGAAAAAAAAAAUCAAAAUUGAAGAACUGAUGUUUUGUCUAGCCUGAUAUUUUAUAGCUCCCUGAUUGAAUCAGUAAUAUAGUAAAUACAAUGGCAAGUAUUAGCAUGCUCUGAACAAUCUUCCGUAUUCCCUCCUCAAAGUAAUCCUGGUGAGGAAACACUGAGGGCCAUAGUGACACCUACUGCUACCACCCAUGUCAUUCACACUGGCCCAGAGAGAACCCUAAACUCCGCAUCCCUUUCUCUCUCCCUCUCUCUCUUUUUUUUUGACAGUUUUAUGUAGCCCAGACGGAGGAAUUCUUUUCAUUCAUUUUUAGAUUAAUUGUAUGUAUCUUAAGUGUUUUGCCUGCAUGUACAUAUAUAUACUAUAUGCAUGCCUGGUUUCCACUGCAGUUUGAAAAAGGGCCUAGGAUCUCCUAUAUUUAAGGAUGGUUGUGAGCUACCAUGUGGGUCCUGGGAAUUGAACUCAGGUCCUCUGCAAAAGCUGCAAGUGCUCUUACCGAGCCAGCUCUGCAGCCGCAUUUGCUUUUGUUUGUUUGUGACAAUCUCAUGAUGUAGACUAGGCAGUGCUGAGAUUAAAGCCUUGUACCAUAAAUUUUUUCCUUUCCUUACUAACCACUGGGUCUCUGGCUAGAUACAACUCUGUAGGUGUCACCAAUGUUGGAAACUAGAUCAAAGGUACAAGAGAUCUUUCCAUUUUUAGUGCUGGUCUUGAAUCCUGGGACUUGGUGGAUGUCUUGCGUCAAGCCCAGCAGCAAAACAUGACCUUAGCAUGUUCGAAGGCCUGAAUCUGACCCCCAGCCCAGCAAACAAAACACAAACACAUGCCUUGCUUGUGGCCCUGUCCUGGAAAAUUUUCUGUCAACUUGAUACAAACCAGCUACCUGAAAGGAGGGAACCUCAAUUGAGAAAAUCCCUUCAUAAGAUCCAGAUGUAUGGCACUUUCUUAAAUUAGUUGUAAUUUUAAUGGGGGAGUGCUCAGCCCAUUGUGGGUGGUGUCACCCCUGGGCUGGUGGUCCUGGGUUCUAUAAGAAAGCAGGCUGAGCAGGCCAGUAGGUGGUACCCAUAGCCCUUGCAUUAGCUCUUGCCUUCAGGUUCCAGCCCUGCUUGAGUCCCUAUCCUGACGUCCUUUACCGCUGAACAGUGCUGUGGAACUGUAAGCUCAAUAACCCCUUUCCUCUCCAACUUGCUUUUGUUCAUGGUGUUUUGCAACAGCAAUAGGAACUCUAAGAUAGGCCCCACAGUUAUCUAAAGGGCAUGUUUUGAGAUGAUUUUGCUAUUGCAGCCUUAAAUUGGCUUUACCCUGUAUUUCUCUUGCCUCCUGGAUGUUAGAAUUGCAAGUGAACCACAUUGGGCAUAAUAAAAAUUCCAAUGAAGGAGACAAAAAUGGGCUGGUGAGAAGCCAAAUCCAUGUCUGAUCCCCGGGCCCACAUGGAAGAAGCAGAGAACUGAUCUGACUUCCCACGGACAAAAAGUUCAAUACUAGCUUUUUUCUUUUUCUUUUGGACUGGGGAGAGGGAGCUCCGUGUGUAAAGGCACUUGCCACACAUCGUGACUUAAGUCUGACCCCUGGAACCCAUGUGAAAAGCUGGAUGCAGGAACAUACAUCUGUAAUGCCAGGACUCUACAGUGACAAGCAGAGACAGGAGAACCCCUGGAAGCUCAUGGGCUGAGCUUGCCUAGAGCACACAAUGUAGCAAAAACAACAAAAGGAUGGACGUCCAGCCCAGCCCAGGUGCAGCGAGUGAGAUGGCUCAGCAGGUAGAGAGGGGCUUGCUGUGCAAGCCUGGGGACCUGAGGCUGAUCUCUGCAACUCACAGAAAGGUAGAAGGAGAGAACGGACUCACAUGGCUGUCCUUCGACUUUCAAACACAUACUGUGUCAUACGUGCUGUGGCACAGACUUGUGCACACAAUUAUACAAUUUUAAUUACACAACAUAACUUUAAAAAGUGGCCAUC
This 2750-nucleotide long non-coding RNA is filed under the name Mus musculus (house mouse). RNAcentral's name for it is "long non-coding RNA chr19:41919649-41922399". The record is from RNAcentral. Lineage: Eukaryota; Metazoa; Chordata; Mammalia; Rodentia; Muridae.